This 465-nucleotide ribosomal RNA is filed under the name Vreelandella stevensii. RNAcentral's name for it is "partial 16S ribosomal RNA". It matches the Rfam family "Bacterial small subunit ribosomal RNA", at positions 338 to 795 of the family's 1533-position model. The record is from RNAcentral. Lineage: Bacteria; Pseudomonadati; Pseudomonadota; Gammaproteobacteria; Oceanospirillales; Halomonadaceae.
CCUACGGGAGGCUGCAGUGGGGAAUAUUGGACAAUGGGCGAAAGCCUGAUCCAGCCAUGCCGCGUGUGUGAAGAAGGCCUUCGGGUUGUAAAGCACUUUCAGUGGGGAAGAAAGCCUUGGGGCUAAUACCCUCGAGGAAGGACAUCACCCACAGAAGAAGCACCGGCUAACUCCGUGCCAGCAGCCGCGGUAAUACGGAGGGUGCGAGCGUUAAUCGGAAUUACUGGGCAUAAAGCGCGCGUAGGCGGUCUGAUAAGCCGGUUGUGAAAGCCCCGGGCUCAACCUGGGAACGGCAUCCGGAACUGUCAGGCUAGAGUGCAGGAGAGGAAGGUAGAAUUCCCGGUGUAGCGGUGAAAUGCGUAGAGAUCGGGAGGAAUACCAGUGGCGAAGGCGGCCUUCUGGACUGACACUGACGCUGAGGUGCGAAAGCGUGGGUAGCAAACAGGAUUAGAUACCCUAGUAGUC